UUAUAGGGGGUCUACUGUAUUUGAAUUACUAUCGCUGAUCUUAACAUUUACAGACUAGAAAUGUUUCUGAUCAUUGGCCAAUUGAAGUUCAAUUAAGAGGAAGGAUUUCUGACGAUGCUGAAAUUAAUUUGAAACCAUCGAUGUGUUUCAUGAUUACUGACAAUAGAAAAAUUUCAGAUCCAAUGAUUAUUCAUAGAGCAAGAAAGAAAUUUGAUUUUAGAACGAAUGCUUCUAAAGAUCAAAAUGGCAAUUACGUUACUUUUAGCGCUAUUAAGAAAUCUGAUAAUUUAAAUGAUUUAUUAGAAUCGUUUCAGUUUCUUUCUCAAAGAUUUCCUGACGUUCUUAGUCAAGAAAUGUGGCAAAGUGUUCAAUAUAAAGCAGAAAAUGGUGGUCUUAGUGAUGAAAGUUCUUUCAAUGAUCCCAGCUUAUUAUCGUACUCGAUAACCAUCUAUUGUGAUGUUCAACAAUUAAUAUGUUCAACUUUGACUUGUCGUCAAACGACAAUUAAUUAAGAAAUAAAUAUUUAAAAUAUU
This is a long non-coding RNA of Centruroides sculpturatus (bark scorpion), 533 nucleotides long. RefSeq lists it as uncharacterized. The record is from RefSeq and is a predicted model, not a curated record. The transcript is spliced from 2 exons. NCBI's taxonomy places the organism in Eukaryota, Metazoa, Arthropoda, Arachnida, Scorpiones, Buthidae.